This 758-nucleotide ribosomal RNA is filed under the name uncultured bacterium. RNAcentral describes it as "bacterial SSU rRNA". It matches the Rfam family "Bacterial small subunit ribosomal RNA", at positions 28 to 776 of the family's 1533-position model. The record is from RNAcentral.
GAUGAACGCUAGCUACAGGCUUAACACAUGCAAGUCGAGGGGCAUCAGGAAGAAAGCUUGCUUUCUUUGCUGGCGACCGGCGCACGGGUGAGUAACACGUAUCCAACCUGCCCUUUACUCGGGGAUAGCCUUUCGAAAGAAAGAUUAAUACCCGAUGGCAUAAUGAUUCCGCAUGGUUUCAUUAUUAAAGGAUUCCGGUAAAGGAUGGGGAUGCGUUCCAUUAGGUUGUUGGUGAGGUAACGGCUCACCAAGCCUUCGAUGGAUAGGGGUUCUGAGAGGAAGGUCCCCCACAUUGGAACUGAGACACGGUCCAAACUCCUACGGGAGGCAGCAGUGAGGAAUAUUGGUCAAUGGGCGUUAGCCUGAACCAGCCAAGUAGCGUGAAGGAUGAAGGCUCUAUGGGUCGUAAACUUCUUUUAUAUAAGAAUAAAGUGCAGUAUGUAUACUGUUUUGUAUGUAUUAUAUGAAUAAGGAUCGGCUAACUCCGUGCCAGCAGCCGCGGUAAUACGGAGGAUCCGAGCGUUAUCCGGAUUUAUUGGGUUUAAAGGGAGCGUAGGUGGACUGGUAAGUCAGUUGUGAAAGUUUGCGGCUCAACCGUAAAAUUGCAGUUGAUACUGUCUGUCUUGAGUACAGUAGAGGUGGGCGGAAUUCGUGGUGUAGCGGUGAAAUGCUUAGAUAUCACGAAGAACUCCGAUUGCGAAGGCAGCUCACUGGACUGCAACUGACACUGAUGCUCGAAAGUGUGGGUAUCAAACAGG